Clupea harengus (Atlantic herring) is the source of this 356-nucleotide long non-coding RNA. RefSeq lists it as uncharacterized. The record is from RefSeq and is a predicted model, not a curated record. The transcript is spliced from 3 exons. Lineage: Eukaryota; Metazoa; Chordata; Actinopteri; Clupeiformes; Clupeidae.
AGUAUGACUUCCGUUUGAAUCAUAGAACAAGAAUCGGUUCCCUGGAACUUGAUAAUGACAAAUGGACGAAUAGCAAACUGAUCAGAGAAAGAUGUGACAGACAUGGCUGUAGGAUAUGCUGGCAUGGAAAGGGUCACGGGUCUCCGCAAGGACAGCUGCGGACUGAGCUGUGGGUCUGGAUGAAGAUACCUGCCCCUUGUUCCCUCCAGGACUGAGCUGUGGGUCUGGGUGAAGAUACCUGCCCCUUGUUUUGGUCCGAUCUGCUUAACACAGUUGAUGAAAGCAAAAUAGGAUGAACAACGUCAAGCCCUGCAUUAACAAAUGCAUACAAAUUACAUGAACCAAUGGAUAUGGUG